Molecule: long non-coding RNA, 15448 nt
Filed under: Nicotiana tabacum (common tobacco)
Lineage: Eukaryota; Viridiplantae; Streptophyta; Magnoliopsida; Solanales; Solanaceae
Description: long non-coding RNA (NTAB_LNC005844)
Source: RNAcentral
CUACACUCUAUACCUAGGGGAACGCCUACAAUGAGCUGAAGAAAAAAAAAACAACGCCUAAGGGGAGAGCUACAACCGCAAUAGACACGACCCCCAGGAACUUCACCUUCCUCGUCGCACCCCACCUCCAAACACCAACAGAGCUCACCUCAAAAAUAAUAGAGAGCAGCGGCGCAUCUCCCCUGGAUUUUCCUCCAUUUUUCCCUUCUUCUUCUACAAUCACAAUAAUCAAACCCCUCCCCCCCCCCCCACAUUAGAAGACAAAAGAAUCAGAAGCUCACUCACGUGCCUUCACUAAUUCAGAAGUAAGAAUCCGAAAUUCAAAACUAGGAAAAAGAAUCGAGCUCUAGAAUGAGAUUUUGGGAACUUUUCUUUGGGUCUUAAAGCUUUCGAAGGUCCAAUUGGUCUGGGUUCCCAUCGUUUUCUGUUGUUUGAUUGCUGGAUUUCUGCUAAGCUUCGGUCUUGGUUCGUGAGUGCCGAACAAGUUUGUUGCCAUGACUGCUGUAGAGAUUUUGUACCAAUGUUAACAUUGAAUAGAUUGAUGGAAGUUCUCUUCAAAGGUCCUUUCCUUUGUCUAUUUGUUUCCAUAUAUUUUUUGCUUUAGUCAUUUUCUCUUAAAUGAUCUGUUGUUCUUGACAUAUUUAGUUCUUUUUGAUUAUUUAAGUUUGAUUUAGUUUAGUCUUAUAUCUCUUUUGAUUAACUAUGGAAAUUGAGUGAUUGGUAUUGGCUAAUAAAAAGUCAAUUUAGUCAUGAAUUGCUAGAAUAAUGGUUCAUCUAUCGAUUGGGUCAUGGGAAUUUUGGUUGAUAAUGUGAUGCCAACAAGAUUUGGAUUUUGGUAUUGAAUAUUAUUUGUUGGAUUUAAUGAGCCAUGGGUUUAAUGAACUUAUUCGGCAACAUUCUGAUUUCCACCACUUCUUCAAGCCCAUAUAAAAUGUGAGACAUAUUUUUAUAGUUGUCCAAUUGCUUGAUUCCAAAUAAAUUUGGUUCCAAUAAAAAACUUAGUUAUAAAUUUCGAACAUAUUAGUGCAAAUUAGUGUAUAAUUGUGCAGCAAAUGAGGAUGUCAGUGUUUGCCUUUAAUAACAUGGAAAUGGCGUAGGAAUUUUGAUUUGCGCCCUUUGAAAGGCGUAGGAAAUGGCGUAGUAUGUUUCCUGAGUUUGUUUUUGUUUCUUAGCCUCUUCUUUUUAAAUCAGAAUGGUAUCACAUUUAGCAAUCUUUCCAUGUUCUAUUUUUUUUAAUGUUUGUGUUAAAAAGCUUGAGUAUGUUUUAUGUUUCUGUUGGUCUUUAGUUUACAUUAGUGUAAAUUGGAGAUGAAUCAAAAAAGGUAGAAAUUGAAAUUCUGUGAUUCGAUUGGUUCGUGUGGGUUAAGCACGUUCGGACUCAAAUGUUUGGUAUUCCUUGUUUUAUUUUUAGGCCCUUUAAUUAGCUUGAGGCAUGCCAUAUUAGCCAAACAUAUAUUUUAUGGUCCUCAAAAUUAGUUCGAACAUCCUUUGAAGUUAGGAUCGAGGUGUGCCAUAGUGCAAGAUUGGAUAACUCAUGGCCCUUAGAUAAUUAAUAUGAACUCUUUUAAAGUUGAGGUGUGCCAUUAGUUGAAUUUUUCAUGGCCCUCGCAAACUUGAAAGUGGGUAGUUGCUUUAGGCGCGCGUAUUUUAAUAAUAUUACCCUCCUAAACUGGGGUGCGCAUUUAUGUGACCCAAAUCCAAAUCUCAACAACGUUGGAUAAAAUGUGUCGGGGACCGCGGGUGCAUUUAUUUGACGUGGUUCAAGACGUAUUUUAAAUGACGUUGCAAUCUUCCUUAAAAAUGAUCAAAAGCGGUUAAUUAGUUAAAAUUGUAUCAUAGACUAAAACAUGUACGAAAAUCAGAUAAUAGGCUAAUUAUAACAGUUGAGCGACCGUGCUAGAACCACGGAACCCGGGAAUGCCUAAUACCUUCUCCCGGGUUAACAGAAUUCCUUACCUGAAUUUUUGUGUUCGCAGACUGUAAUACAGAGUCAAUCUUUUCCUCGAUCGGGAUUUGAACCGGUGACUUGGGACACCAUAAAAUUAUCCCAAGUGGCGACUCUGAAUUUUUUUAAUAAAAUAAUCCCGUUUCGAUUGUCACUUUAAGUUGGAAAAAACUCACUUAUAUACUCCCUUCCGGGGGUAUGAGGAAAAAGGAGGUGUGACAAUCCUCAUAGACCUCUAACACCUGAGAGGUGACCCUUUUCGAGUGUUCUUUGGUGGGAUCAGAGGAAUGAGGAGAAAUGAGGUUCUCAACAUAUGGAAAGGAGACAGAGUUUGAUAGAAAAGGAAAACAAUAGGAAAUGAGGAGGAAAUAAGUGUGGGUGCAGUAGUAUUGGAGGGAGUGGAAGAGUGAAUUUCUGGAGAUGACUUUAAGGAUGAUAGGGAAGUGGAAGCGGUGUUGAUGGGGGAAAAAGGAAGCGAUCGUUCGAUUGCCAUUAUAGGAGGAUUUGAUAGGGAAGUUGAUGAGAAAGAGAUGGGGAGAGGAUCAUAUAGAUACAAAGGAGAUUAAGGUUCAUGACUUGCUGUGAGAGGAAAAAAAAAGUUUUAUGGGAAGAAGGGCUAAUGAUGAGAAAAGGGAGAGAAACGAGUUCUGAACAAUCCUGAAAACGGCAGUAGGUUUGUGGGAAAACGUUAUCGUGCAGAGGGAAUGAAGGGAUUUGAAAGACAAGACAUGCAGAUUUUGAAAAGUUGGAUGAUGUGGCAUUUGAAUUAAUUUUGUUAACCCUUUUUGAGAAAGCAUGCAAAACAACACAUUAUUACUAACCUUUGGUACAUGAACCUAAUGCCUGACCAAUUUUUGAAAAAGGUUUUAGCAGCUCUUCUUUCGCAAUUCAUAAUUGCACCUUUAGCUUCCUUGAUCACCAUGCGUGUUUACCUGCAACGAUAUCGAUGUGAGUUAGGCUUUGCUAUAAAAUACUUUAGCUCAUUUUACCUGAAGGUGAUUUUCAUAGCCAACUAAUGGAGAAUCGGGUUCUCAACUUGGCUUCAAUACCCCCAGCUUCACCUUGUUUCUUUCAGAGAGUUCCCUACGCAAGGCUUUGGUGAAGAUAUCUAGAAUUUGGUCUUCUGUGUUGCAGAUCUUCAUACAGAUCAACCUUUUCUCCACAUUGUCCUUCAGACAAUGAUGCCUCACAUUAACGUGUUUGAUCCUUUUGUGUUGAACUGGAUUCUUGGCCAAGUUGAGCAUAACAGUGUUGUCAUAUAGAAGAGGCACCCAAUCAGUGAAUACUCUAAAAUCCUCCAGUUGCUGCUUAAUCCAUAAGAGUUGAGCACAAUAAGAUACUGCAGCUACAUAUUCUGCUUCAGCCGUUUCAGGGACCACUGGUUUACUGCCUUGUGCACCAAAAGAUGAAACAUGAUCAUAGAAAGUGGCCAUUCCAAAAGUGCUUUUCCUAUCCAAAAGAUAACCUGCAUAGUUAGCAUUAGCAUACCCAAUGGGAUUUAAAGUUGUCACCUGAGGGGUAAUACAGGACCAGGUCCUGAGUUUUCUUAAGGUAUCUCAAAACUCUUUUGGCAGUCUUCAAGUAAGAUCCCUUGAAAUUUGAUUUUGGAUUCUGUUUGGAAUAAAAGUACAGAAGGGUCUAUGGGAUUUUUUUUUUGAAUUUUGAUUCUUGUCUAGAUUCAGAAUGAAGGGGAGUAAUUGUGUUAUCAAGUAGGUGGGAGCUUUUGUGUUUCCAAGUGGGGACUGAAGUUUGAUUAGUAGAGAACCUGAGUAAAUUAAGUAGAUUUCCCUGCACUCCUUGUUCUACUACUUGUGGAAUAUCUUACCCCGCAUCUCCACUAGUUUCUUCAGCUUCAAUGGUAGUAAAUGAAGUACCAGGUUCCUCGUGCGAUAUGGAAGAGGAUUGUUUACCAUGAAAAUGGUAAUAGCAAUUAAAUUUGUUGAUGGAAUUCUAAAAAUACAUGAUCUAUUUUUAUGCUAGUUUGUUAAGCAGUUGGUGCUAAACGUAUGAGAUUUAGAAAUGAAAUAAAGUUAAGGAGAGAGCUAUAAUCGAACCGAUAUGUCAAUUAUUCGGGGCCUCAGGCUUGUCGAUUCUAGGCCUCGAGGUCGAUCCCGGAGUUCGAUUACGAGCUAUCGAAGACAAUUGCUAUGUGACUAACAGUUAUAAUAGAAUCAAUGGAAGCUCUUUAUAACCAAUGAUAGGCAAUAAAUGAUGAACAAAUAUGAAGACAAUAAAUGAAAGCAAUGAUAUCAAGAGAGUGCAUGAGAGAGCAAAGAGAAUGUUCUUCUAUAUUUCUUAUGGAGCAACUGGAGCCACAGAGUGUUACAAAGUGUCAAGGAUCCCCUUAUAUAGGAGGGGAAAUUCCAACAUAGUACAAAAUACAUUAAUGAUAAAGAAAUCAGGGUGGGACAGCUGGCUAACUUCAUGAUGCAGGCUCAGACUAGCUUCAGACUAGCCUGACAGAUUUUGCGGGCCCUGGCUGCACUCUUCAGGAACUCCCCAUAUCUGAGGUCGCGGCCAACAUUACCCUAGGUCGGGUGCCGAUGGACCUCGAGGGAGGGUACUCAGUCUGUGGUCUUGAGACUUCGAGGUGAUCUUCUGAGAUGCCUUAUCAACGAGAAAUUGGUUCCUCCAAUUUCACCAUAUACAGAUAGUCCCCGCGUUUCUUAGAGAGAAGCGACAAGAAAUGAUUUUGACAUUCGACUCUUCGGACUUCCUGUGAUGACGUCAUACUGAUGACACAAGCCUCCAUGAUUACCGAAACAUUUCGUCAUUUCACUUCUCUAGGAUCAUUAGACGUAUUGCAGUUUCUCAUUAUCCAAGCCAUAAUGUCACUAUCGAUUGAGCUUCCAGGGAUGCAUUAAAUAUGCCUGUCAUUACAUUUUUCAAGGGCGAUAAUGGCGCCGUCGGUUACGUUGCCCCUUUCUAUAAAUGGGGGCCUCCUUGGAUCAGCCUUUUAUCCAAGUACCUAUCCAUUCCUCCUUUCUCGCUAUCUUUAUUCUUUGUUGUUCACCAUGUUUAAGGCACAUGGCCUCAAGAUUGUAUGGCGGUACUUCUAUCGGGAAUGCCAUGGCCUGUCUCCUGGACCUUCUUUGGUCGAGCGAGAUUACACUAUUUUUUUUUUGUUGUUGUUGUUGCUAUCGUCGUUGGCUCGGGACGACGAAGCAGAGGGCCGAUUUCCUCCGACCCAAGGAAAUAUUUGGAUUAUACACAGCUACUCAAGAGGGGGCUCAGACUAUACACCGCUGCUCACCUCCCGUGAUUAUCCGGUUCAGCGCCUCACUCCCUUUGCUUUCCAUGGAGUGAGGUUGUACUAUCUACUAACUAUUGCAGCCUGCACCGGGGAAAUGUCUCAAGAAGUGACUUUACAAUAAUAGCCUGGUGAAAUUCAUACUAGCCAGAUUUUUCACCCAGCCACUUCUUCGUUCCUUCUUGCCUUUUCCGCGUCACUUUGUUCUUCUCCAUCGCUUUCCUCUUCAUCGUCUCCACUAUUGAAGAUGCCAUCCUGGGGAAUCGAGAUAAGACUCCCAAAGGGAUUGUGCUUGGAAGAUAUUGUAUUUGAGGAUGCGUGCCUAAGGAGAUGAUGCCCAAAAUUGUUGCUGCCGAGGACGCACCUUUGAGAAUACGAUAGGCUCUUAGGCUUUUACUAUAUGUACACCUUCUUGCUUCUUUUCUGUGUAAAGACCCCUCAUGGGCUUUUGUAAUCAUAUGUAAGGACCCCUCGUGGGCUUUUGUAAUCGAAUGUUUCAUGAAUACAAAGAUAUUUCUCCAAUUUAUCUUUGAUGCUUGCUAUAUUCUUUUAUGUCUGUGGAGACUCUGAAUGCAUGACUCUGUGUGUUGUUGCCAAUAUCAAGCCCAAGUGUGAAUAUUCUUUCUGGCCUUUGGUUGAUUAAUAUGGCCUCGCAUGGAACCUUUUGUGAUCCAUUGGAUUGAACCUGGAUCGAGCCGAUGAGCUCGGGUCGCCGGGACCUUAACUUCGAGUAGAAUGAAAGUAACGUUUUGGGUCUUGAAACAAUGAUUUAUUGCUUAAACUCCAUGGUAACCUUUGAGAAGAGAUUUGAUCGGAGGCCUGUGGACAGGGACUACCUUUGAUCUCUCGAGGGCAGUCCCCAAAAGGAGGUUCGUUCAAAUUCGGAUUACUUGGAAACUCGCUUUGAGCUUAGUGUAAAUAGCCUUAAGGCGCUGUAGAUAGAUCUUGAAAGAGGGUUUGUCCGAUCUCAGACGGUACUCCGAGGCCAAGCCCAUACGGGUGGAGCUUAAAUGCUUAUUUCCUUGGAGCCUGAUUCCCUUUUGACAAAAGCCCCCAAGGUUAGGUACCACCUCGGGUCUCGUAAUGAUGUCAUUGGUUUCCUGGAACCUAACCUUCCCUUUGAUAGAGGUCCUCGAGGUCGGGUGCCACCUUGGUGCCGACGAAGGCAUCAUCGGCUUGUUGGAGCCUAGCCUCGUACUGAUGGAGAUCCACGAGGUCGGGUGCCACCUCGGGACUGACAAAGGUGUUUUUAGUCAGUUUCGAGGCAAGCAGAUCGUCGCCAUUUUUUCCAUGAGUAUAUAUACAGGGAUGUUUUUACUUUUUGGAGAUCCCACCAUUUCAAGCGGUUGCCUUUCUCUUUCUGCGUCAAUCCUUUCGUUAUUUCAGUACUAAUGUACUUGCACAUAUUCCUAUUUUAGUUCUCCAAUUUUUCCAUGUUCAUGACCGCUGCAUCGGGGUCUGCCCAGAAGAGAGAGGAGAGCUCCACCUCCGGCAUUUAGGACCAACGAGAGUAUGCCUUGAAGGUUGCUUCUUUGAUAGGAGAAAAACAUCUUGGGUUAGUGAGAAAAGACUACGGAUGGGGGAGGGGAAGGUAGUGUUAUAGAUACUUUCCCCGGGUGAGUGCAUCACGGAUUGUGCCGAUGGAUUCUUGACUGUGCACACAUACCCUUUCACACUGGGACCUCUUGAUAGGGUUGUGCUCGACUUCUGCCUAGAGUAUGGGGUUACCUUGGCGCAGAUCCAUCCAUCAUUUUGGGAACAGUGUUGAUGAUGAGAUUUUUUGUGGAGAAGGCAGGGCUUGACUUUACUCUUAGUCAUCUUAUCAGGCUGUACUGACCCUUCCACCAUCGAGGUCCGUUGACCUUGCGAUGCUGAUCGACCACGCCCUUUGUUGUUGACGAUGAGGAAGAUAGAGAUUAGGGGUGGAUGAGUUGCUUCGUCCGGAUGCGGACUGCUGACAUUGUCCCCGUGGAGCUCAUGCCAUUCCCUAAGGAAUGGAACUAUUCUCGUAAGUGGUGCAUCUCGUGCUUUCUCAGUUUUGUCUGUGAAGAAAGCCUAGUUUUGUAACCGUGCCUUCUUUUCUUUUCUCACAGCGGUUUCAUGGGCGCCGGGCGACGUUCCUGAUUUGCUGGAUUGGGUCCAAAAGCUGGCGACCCACUCGACCUCUGAUGAGCGCAAGUGGCGAGCUGUGUCCCGGGGCAAGUGGUAAACAAAACACCAUAGUGAGUGAUGUGUUAUACUUUCCCCUCCCUUCCUUCAUUUGGAGAGGCACUUUCUCUUUAUGCAUAUUAAGCUUGCAAUUGUAGGCAUUGAAGAGCCUUCGAUGCGAGGCUGCGCUCCUUUCGAGAGGGGGAAGUGUUUUCAACUCCCGGGCUGAAGAAUGACAACAAUAAGUGAGAGAUGCUUUUUUCAGGGCAAUGGUGCUCAAGGCAAGGCAAAACGGGACUGGGGCAUCGGAGUGGAAGCAUCGUCCGAACCUACCGUGUCCGCGGUUCUUGGUUCUAGAAAAAGGGUUUCUUUGUUGUUGUUACCUUUGAUCGAUUUUCAAUGUCUUAGCCUUAUACUUCUUAUGUUUUGAUGAUCUAACAAACCUGUUAUGAAGAACCAGAUAGAGAAACUUGUCGCACAGGUUAUACAUCUCAUAUGAACAAUUCGACAACAGGAAGGAACUAAACGAUCAUAGAGAGGAACAUCACAGGGACCUGGUGCCCCGGUCUCUUAGGGUUCUCCGGCACAAAGAAGUCAAUGAUUGUACGCAAUCAAUAUAAAGAGGAACACAACAGGGACCUACUCCCUGUAGGUACUCUGACAGAAGUACAGGUCAAGUGCACAACUGGAAUAUGGCAGAAGAAAGUGACCAUCUGUUAACUGUUACAGAAGCGGAACACAACGAGGACCUGGUCUGUUGGUGUGUUCUGACAGAAGUACAAAGUCCACUAUCCAGCUGGAAUGCAACUGCCCAGUAGUGGCUGUGUAGACAGUGUAGUAGUCACUUCUCUCGGGUAAAAGGUACACCACGAGUUGACAUCACUACCUAUUGUGAUAUCUUUUGUGAUAAAACAACCUGGUGCAAGAAACACUAGGAUUUGUGUAUUCAGUGAUAUUCUCUCAAGAACAAGAAGAUAACUCCACUAAGGAUCAGUUUCUAAACGAGUCUUAUGUAUACCCAUAGUUGAGUUGUAAUCUUGUUAAUUGCUCUACAUUGUAAUUCCUAGUUUGCUUUGUUAGAAGUGCUGUUUUAGGAACAAAUCAAAUUCGUAAACUUUAGAGUUUAUGUUAUGACUAGGAAUAGUCAUAAGUUAAAUCCUCUGUAACUAGAAGAGUUAGAGAGUGGCUUGUGGUGGUUGCAUCACAAGGUAGUUUGAAGUCUUUGUAAUCGGCAAUAUUGCAAAGUGGCUUGUAAUAGGUAGAUUACAAGUUAGUUGAGUUAAAAGCCUACAAGAGUAGGUCGUGGUUUUUUGAUCCCCUUGUGUGGAAUUUUUCCACGUAGAAAAUCUCUUGCCUUCUUUACUUUCAGUCUUACUGCUUCCUACGUAUCAGCCUCAUACGGGACCAGGUACUCCAUAGUUUGGUGGACUUAUAUAGGCUAUCAAUUGGUAUCAGAGUGGGUUCCUCCUAUCAGGCUAACACCUAGGGAGGAUCCUUAAAUGGCUGCUCCACUAAGCUUUGAAGAAGGACAAUCAACCUAUAGACCUCAUAGAUUCAAUGGUCAAUACUACGAAUGGUGGAAGACUCGGAUGCAUGACUUCAUAAUGGCUGAAGAUUCAGAACUGUGGGACAUCUUUUGUGAUGGUCCACAUGUUCCCAUGAAGAAACAUGACCAUUGGUGCCCAAAGGGAGAAGAGAGUACAAUGACACUGACAAGAAAGCUGUAGAAAAGAACUAUCGUGCCAAGAAAAUCUUGAUGUGUGGCAUAGGACCUGAUGAUUACAACAGAGUAUCAGCCUGUGAUACUGCCAAAGAAAUAUGGGAAGCCUUACAAACUGCACACAAAGGAACAACUCAAGUCAAAUAAUCCAAGAUCGACAUGCUGACCACUAAAUAUGAGCCCUUCACGAUGAAGGAUGAUGAUUCCAUACAAGAUAUGCAUAUCAGAUUCACCUCCAUCAUAAAUGAGCUUCACUCACUUGGAGAUGUUAUUCCCAGAAACAAGCUUGUAAGGAAAAUUCUCAGUGUUCUACCUGGGUCUUUGGAAAGUAAGGUAAAUGCCAUCAUGGAAGCUAAAGAUCUACAGACUCUGACCAUGGAUGAGCUGAUUGGUAAUCUGAAAACAUAUGAGAUGAAAAGAAAGAAAGACAGUGAAAGAAGAGAGCCUAAGAAGGAAAAGAACCUGGUGCUUAAGGCUGAAAGGAGUGACUCAAGUGAUCAAGAUAGUGACAUGGCCUAUCUUACGAAGAGAUUUCAAAAAAUGGUUCGAAGAAAUGGUGGCAUACCAAAGUGGGACAGUUCAAGUAAAACAAGGAACAACGAUCUCUGUCACGGAUGUGGAAAGCCAGGGCAUUUCAUCAAAGAGUGCCCACUCGCGAAACAGGAGCAGUACAAGCAAAAUCCUGACAAAGCUGGAAAAAGGAACCUGGUUCUAGAGAAAAAAUUUAAUAAAAAAAGUGCUGCAGACAAUAUUGUUAAGCAGACUAUUUCUGCUUGGGGAGACUCCUCAAGUGAAUCUGAAAGGGAAUCAAUGCAGAAAAUAGUUCCAUGAUGGCAAUGGAAACUGAAGCAACAAAGUACGAUUCACUGUUCGUGUUGAUGGCUCAGUCAGAUGAUGAUGAUGAAGAAGAUGAAGACGAUAAGGUAAACUUCAGGGAUGUUCAGAGAAAUCUAAAAUCCUUUUCCUUUAAGAAACUAAGGUCUUUAUCAAAUGUCCUAAUUGACGCUUAUUAUAGUCUUGUAAAUGAUAAGGAGAUCUUGAUUGUAGAACUAGGGGAGGCCGAACAAUCUAGAGAUGAUCUAGUGGUCUGUGUAGGGGACUUAAAUGAAACCAUAGCUAAUCUUGAACUAGAGAAGGAGGCCCUAAAUGAAAAAAAUCCAGUGUGGGGAAUGAGAGAGAUGACGUGAUGGUAGUAGUCGUUGAUCUAAAAGAAAUAAUAGAAGGUCUUAGCAAUGAGAAACACUCCUUAGAAGAAAAAAUUGCCUCCACUGAGGAGGAAAGAUAUGACCUUCUAGUAAUAUGCACUGAUCUAGAGGAAACCAUUGAGGGACUCAGUAGAGAACAUAGGAAUGUAACUCUUGUGAAAGGGAAGGAAGUAGCUAGUGAGUCGCACAUCUUGCUCGAAAAGGAGUUAACUGUUGUAAAAACCAGUCUUUGCAAUGAACUCGAGAGAAAUUAGCAGCUCCAAGCUGAGUUGGAAAAAGUAAGAAAUAAUCUUGAAAAAUCCUUGAAAUGGACCUGGUCCUCAGAUGCAGUCAUUGCCAUGUAUAUCAACAAUAGUGGGAACAAGUAGGGCAUCGGGUUCCAAAGGGAGAAAACUCCCUACAACCCACACAGCAAGUAUGUCACUGUACAUGAUAACUGGCUAUGUACCCACUGCGGAAACAAUGGGCAUUUUAAAGAAAUUUUCUAGGCCAGGGUUCAGUCUGCUUAGAAGAACAAAACAUUUACAAAUAGAGUGACUACUAGCAAAGGAAUAGGUACUACUCGCAAAAAGCGGAUGCUGCCUACGUGGACCAAGAAAACCCUCAUUCAUCCUUUUUAUAGUAACAAGGGACCCAAACUAGUUCGGGUCCCUAAAUCUAACCCCUGUUGUGUAUGUGCAGAGAGCAAUGAGAGGAAGCAGACUGCGAUGGACUAUGGAUAGUGGAUGCUUAAAGCAUGCAACAUCAUGAAUUUCUUCUCACUGAAAGCCCUGUAGGAAGGGAAUGUAUCCUUGAAAAGAAAAUAAAGGGUACAUUCUCAGUGAAUGAAAAGGUAGAAAAGGUUCUUCUUGGAAUUUGAGUAGAGACAAGCACUAUGUGAAUGACCUAAAAGGUGCUGUCAUCAAUCUGAUAACUAGCCAAGUAGUAUCAAUGAACAAAGGAAGCAAGAACAGUCACUCCUGCUAAUCAUCAAUUGGAGAAUGAGAUAAGUGAAAUCACAACUAUGAAGGGGCAGUAUAUGGAAAUUUCUCACCUCCGAAGAAACUAACUCAGUCGGACUUGGUCCGUGAUCUUCCAAACUCAAGCGUGACCUGGACAUGAACUCACAAAAUUGAUGGAGGAGAGGGAGAAGGAAUUUCGCACAAUUUCUCAAACUCUAAGGAUUGAAUAACCAAAAUAGCGUAGCAGAAAGAAAGAACGGACCUGGAAAUUGUUGCAUAAACUGUGCUCAUCGUCUAGGGAAUCUCCAAGAAACUAUGGGAAAAGGAAUAAACAUUACUCUCUACUUGGAGAACAGGUGUCGGACCAGGUGCCUCCUAAAUCAAAACUCACUAGGAACUGCCAAAUUGGAAAAAAUUGCCUUGUGCUUGACAACAGGAAGGGUCAGCUUGGGGAGCUCAAUGCAAAAGGACGAGCUAAGGACUUCUUCUAAAGUUCAAUCCACAAAACAAAGCCACAGGGUCUUCAACAAGGAAACACAAAAUGGCAGGAAAUGCUCAUAGGGCUUCAAAUUAGGAGGGUGAUAGAGUGAGCAAAAUGAAAGAAGACUGGCGAGAGACAACGCAACAUCAUCUUCCUUGUCUCACAAAGAACCUUGUACAUCAUUUGCCAUAACUGAAGCUGAAGGAAGAAGAAAAGAUGUAGCUCAUGGCACUACACAACCAGCAGAACACAAAGUGUGAGGAAAUCAAACUGACCUCCAUAUGUUUCUUCCCAACCAACCUCUAUUUCAAGUUGGGAUACCAAAGUGCACUUGUCAUGAUUCAUGCAUUAUCUUCUGGAAGACAAGGAAGCAAGACCAAAUGACCUCAUCAACAUCUGGAGAGAAAUUGCAAACACAUUGAAGGGUGAGAUCCUUUUUUGAGGGUAAAUAUGAAGAAGGGAUUGAUCAGUGGAAAGGAUUGCAUAAUAGAAGACUAAACUCCAGAUAUCUGUAUCAAAGCCUCAAGUAGAGAAUAUUUUGAAUAAAUCAAGGCGAAGACGGGGUCACACAAAUCUAAAGAAGAACCUGAUUCUCCAUCUAUUGGCUGUGUAAGACACCUUCAGGUAAAGAUAGCUAAAGUAUUUUCUGACCAAGCCUAGCUCACAUCAAUACCGUUGUAGGUAAACACGCAUGACGAUCAUAGAAACCAAAGGUGCAGUUAUGAACUGUAAGGAGGGGAACUGCUAAAAUCUUGUUCAAAAGAUUGCUCUGGCAUCAGGUUCUCGUAUCUGAGGUUAGUAGGAAUGUGCUUAAUUUUUGCAUGCCCUUUAUAAACAAAAAAAGGCAUAUAAAUACUUUGUAAUUCAGCUACCACGUCAUUCAAUUUUUCAACGUCUGAGUGACAUGUCUUGUCAGUUAAAUCCUUCAUCCCCUCUACACGGUAACACUUCCUUACAAAUCUACCGUCGUUUUCAGACGUUUCAGAACUUGUUUCGCUCUCCACUCAUCAUUAGUUCUUCUCCCAAUAAGAAACUUCCCCUCUUUCUCACGGCAAGUUAUGAACCUUCAUCCCCUGUGCAUAGCUAGGAUCCUCUCCCUAUCUACUCCUUCCUCUUUCAACUCAUAUACUAAGUGUUCAUCUAAUGGCGAUGGAAAAAUCUUCUCAUUCCCCCGCCAUUACACUGUUCCCAUUUCUUCAUCACCCUUGAAAUCAUUCCUAGAGCUUCACUAUUUCACGCCUUCUACCACCUUACACACUUAUGGGUCCUCCUCCACUCCUACAGUCUUUCCAUUUCUGAUAAACCCUGUUUACCAUUAUUUUGAGAAUCUUAUGUCUAGUCAAUCUUAUGAUCUCAUCAAAGACCACACAGAAGGUCUCACUCCUCGAGUAUCAGAAGCCCCUGAGGACGAUCCUGACCAGUACCUUAAUACCUCCAUGUUAGACUCAGUGACUCUCAAGGAGUCACCAGAAAAGGAAGCAGCUCAUAACAUUAUGGCUAUAUCUGCAAAGAGUCUGAUGGAUGAAGAAGCUUAUCUCUCCUCAGAGUAUCAAGAUGAAUACUUAACACUCCUAGGAGAUGUAAGAACCACAUAGUUUGGCUCAUGAGAUAUUUUCAGAAAAGCCUUCUAAUGAACCUGAUUCACUCCUAUGCAAACUCACUCCUGUAUCUUCUGCUCAUUCCAAACUCCUAGAGUCUUCCUCAAAAUCACCCAUCACCAGGUCACUACAGCAAGAGAAUUUUAAAUCCUAAUUGCAGAAAAGUAAGAGAAGUGUCAAGACAAGGAAAAAGAGAAAAAUGAAUCCAAAAGAUUUCAUCAAGAGUGUGCCAGUGAAUCAAAUAGACAAAAAUGCUUCUAGAGAACCUGGUUCUUUAGUGCAACAGUCUGUGACGAUUAAGGAAAAUGUUGAAGAACAGAAAGGGUCACCUGGGAAGCACAACAGCAAGUCUAAACAGAGUAAAACUAAGAUAGUUGUGUCAAAGGACAAAACUGUAGAGGUAACAAGAUGGAAAGGAGAGUCUGUCGAAGGAACCAGAAACCAGGAAAGGGAAACUGUUCAUGAACCUGGUGCAUCAAAGUCCUUAACCUGUGAUGGUGUUCAGUGCUAGCAAAGAUUAAGAACUCAAAACUUGUUGUGGGGCCGAGAUUUUGAUCCAACAAUUUCGGAAAUGGCUGGCAUGAGACAAAUUUUGGAGAUUGUAGAAUUUCAAUAAUGAGAACACCUAUUUGAAGGGAGCAUGCAUCUGGUGUAUAAAGAUGCAGUGCAAACCUUCUACUCAUCUCUCUUCACUGUUGAAGGGGACCACAUCUACGCACUUGUAAACGGAGUGGACAUUGUACUCGACACUUCAACAUUAGGAAAAAUCUCAAAAUUCCGUGUGAAGGUGUGUCCUCGGUCAAGGAUGUUUGUGGAGUAAACUUUUGAAGAGCCAUCAUGAAAGAGCAAGCUAUUCAACAGGGGGAACAAGUCCAUAAGAAAGUGUUACUUCCUGAGUAUCAACUUCUCUUUGAACUGGUCAAUAAAGUACUCCUACCCCGCUCUAAGAGACGGUCCAUUGCCACAAAGUCAGAUUUGGUCCUGAUGGAAGCGCUUGAUGAAUUUGUACCAAUCAACCUGCCAGCAAUCAUGGUAGAUCACAUGCAGAAGGUGGCAAAUUUUAAGGGUGGCAAUCAUGGAUUACCUUAUGGCUUUCUCCUCAAUCAAGUGUUCAGAUUCUAUAAGGUUCUCUUGGGAAAUCCUAGAGUGGGCACACGCAAGCAAACAUUUUCUAAGACUACUCUAGAAGAAUGUGAAUGUAUAGAAAAUUUGGUAGAAGCAUCUCGACCAUUUCUCAGCUGAUAAACGCCCAAAAUGUAGCCUCUGAGGAAAUACGAAGGCUGAGGGCUCGAAAUGCCAUUCUAGAAACUCAGCUUAGCCAAGCAGCUAAGGGACCUAAUUUUGUACAUGAGGAGGUUGCCAAACUGAGAAAGGAAAAUGAGAGACUUCGGGCUCAACUACUUGAAGAACAACUGGCCGCAAAUGCUAGACUGGACCUGGUUCUCAAAACCAUUGUUGUCUCUUCCUCCAAGCCUCCUCCCCUUAGUGCUCCCUAGGAUUCUCCUUAGUAUCUAGCUAUUUUUGCACCAACUUCCUGUGGUUAUUGUUUUACUUGUUUUUGUUUUGUGAUGGCAUGUUGAACUUAACCAUUACUGCUCCUGACUUGCUCAGUCCAAUGUAAACAUUAAUGAAACAACUCCCAUUUUUCUUGCAUGUACAACAUUGUGUUCCUCUGGUUUCUCUUUUCUGUCAUGACUGUUUGAACAUAUGUGGCAUGAGCUAGCUGUGUUAGACUUCUUUAUGCUUAUUACCUGCGAGUGCUCUUUGUCAUACUAGUUGGUCUUUUUAAUGAUACCAAAAGGGGGAAAUUAUAUAAUAGAUGGGGAUGGGGCUGAGAAGAUUAAGGGGGAACUAUGCUAUGCCUGUGAUGUGCUAUGUCUGUGAUGAUCAAAGGAGGGAGAUCUAAGAUUAAGGGGGAACUGCUGACUCAUCUGGUUAAUUAACUGUUAAUCCUGAUCUAAACAAAUGCUUUUCAUCCUUAAGUUUGUCAUCAUCAAAAAUGGGAAAAUUGAUGGGUUUUCAAUGUCUUAGCAUUAUAUUUCUUUAUGUUUUGAUGAUCUAACAAACUUGUUAUGAAGAACCAGAUAGAGAACCUUGUCGCACAGGUUAUACAUCUCGUAUGAACAAUUCAACAACGGGAAGGAACUAAACGAUCACAGA